RNAcentral lists this ribosomal RNA (900 nucleotides) under uncultured eukaryote. Its description in RNAcentral is "SSU rRNA". It matches the Rfam family "Eukaryotic small subunit ribosomal RNA", at positions 533 to 1466 of the family's 1831-position model. The record is from RNAcentral.
CUGCAGGUUUAACGAUCGCCUGUGCAGCAGCCGCGGUAAUUCCAGCUCCAAUAGCGUAUAUUAAAGUUGUUGUGGUUAAAAAGCUCGUAGUUGGAUCUCGGCGGACUGAGGGCGGUUUGCUUGCUAGUAUUACUGCCCUAUAGUCCGUAGUUUUGCCAGAGGUUUCGGGGUGCUCUUAAUCGAGUGUCCCGGGAUGCUGGCAGGUUUACUUUGAAAAAAUUAGAGUGCUCAAAGCAGGCUAUUACGCCUGAAUAUUCGUGCAUGGAAUAAUAGAAUAGGAAGUCGUUUCUAUUUUGUUGGUUUUCGGAAAUCGACUUAAUGAUUAAUAGGGACAGUCGGGGGCAUUUGUAUUCAAACGACAGAGGUGAAAUUCUUGGACCGUUUGAAGACAAACUACUGCGAAAGCAUUUGCCAAGAAUGUUUUCAUUAAUCAAGAACGAAAGUUAAAGGUUCGAAGGCGAUUAGAUACCGCCCUAGUUUUAACCAUAAACGAUGCCAGCUAGCGAUCUGCGGACGUUUUUUUUGUAGACUCCGCAGGAAGCUUCCGGGAAACCAAAGCAUUUGGGUUCCAGGGGAAGUAUGGUUGCAAAGCUGAAACUUAAAGGAAUUGACGGAAGGGCACCACCAGGAGUGGAGCCUGUGGCUUAAUUUGACUCAACACGGGAAAUCUCACCAGGCCCGGACACUGGAAGGAUUGACAGAUUGAUAGCUCUUUCUUGAUUCGGUGGGUGGUGGUGCAUGGGCCGUUCUUAGUUGGUGGAGUGAUUUGUCUGGUUAAUUCCGAUAACGAACGAGACUCUGUCCUGCUAAAUAGUGUCUGCUUCUCUUUUGAGCAGACAAUUCUUCUUAGAGGGACUGGCGACUCUUAGUCGCACGAGAUUGAGCAAUAACAGGUCUGUG